This 1176-nucleotide long non-coding RNA is filed under the name Medicago truncatula (barrel medic). Its description in RNAcentral is "long non-coding RNA (MTRU_LNC004843)". The record is from RNAcentral. Lineage: Eukaryota; Viridiplantae; Streptophyta; Magnoliopsida; Fabales; Fabaceae.
CGGGAUGAAGGUUCCACAAAUAAAUGGUGGGAUGAGACCCGAUUAGUACCAAAUUUAAAAAUAAAAUAAUUGUCCCAAGGCCUACCACCUCUAGGCCUAAGGGUUUCCAUUUUCUUAAGUUCGAACUUCAAAUCUUGCAUAUAUUAUGUAUUGUCUUUACCAAUUAAGUUAAACUCACAUAAACAUUAUUCGGUGAAUAUCACUUCUACAAACUAAAAGAAAAAACUCAAAACCCAAUUUUUAUCAUGCUAGCUUCAAAUUGAGUUCACUUCAAAUCCAAAAAAUUACACUAAAAUUAAUUAAUUAAUCAACAACAAUUAAAAAUAACACAAACCCAUAACAUAUCAGAUCAGAUCUAUGUAUUUCCAAAAAAAAAGAUCUAUGUAUUUCCAAUCACCAAAAUAAAAAACCUUAACUUUAUUUCAAUUCAUAGGUAACUUCUAACAACAACAACAACAAAAUCAUUAAAAAGAAAAACACAUCCAAUUAUUACAACUUACAAUAAUGCAGUUUCUACCUCAGAUCCAGGUGUAACCAUAUCAACCAGUAUAGAUAUGAACACGAAGAGCCAAGAUGAUAACAGCAUAAAGACCAAAGAAAAUAAGUGUAUGAAUGAAAAUAGCUUUUCCAUUUGUCUUCAUACCACCAAACUCAAGCUGUUUUCCAUUUCCUGGAAAUGAAAACAACAACCCUGGUUGAAGAAACACAAACAGCACAACUCCAAUAACCACUGGUGCCCAAUCAGACAUUUUUUUGAACACUAGUGAAUAAAAAAAAGGUAGAUCUUUAUGACCCAGAUGAGAAAAAUUGUGACUUUCGGUGAAGAAAGUGGUAAAGGUGUUGAAGCUUUAAGGAAAUGAGUGAAAUUUCUUGGAAAGUGAUGUUUUAAAAUUUGGAACAAUUUGGAAGCACAAGAAAAAGUGUGGCAGGUGAUAUUGUUUUUGUUGACGGUAGGGUUUGGUUGUGUGUGGGAGGUACUAGGUAGGAUAUGGUAUGGUACUUUUUUUUUAUUUACUUGCGUCAGGAUUAACUGAACAAAAGAUUCUUUGGUAUGGGUUUGAUUUAGUGGGCCAAGAUGCAAAUGUCAUGCAAUUGAUGUUAGACAAAUUUACUCUUACCCCAUUGUUUUUGAAAGAACAUACCCUAUCAAUCGACCAAUUUGAAGGGAAAAAUACC